AGGACGAACGCUGGCGGCGUGCUUAACACAUGCAAGUCGAGCGGAAAGGCCUUUCGGGGUACUCGAGCGGCGAACGGGUGAGUAACACGUGAGUAAUCUGCCCAUCGCUUCAGGAUAGCCAUCGGAAACGGUGAUUAAUACUGGAUAUGACAUUCCUUCGCAUGUUGGGGUGUGGAAAGUUUUUCGGCGGUGGAUGUGCUCGCGGCCUAUCAGCUUGGUUGGUGGGGUGAUGGCCUACCAAGGCUUUGACGGGUAGCCGGCCUGAGAGGGUGACCGGCCACACUGGGGACUGGAGACACGGCCCAGACUCCGUACGGGA
Molecule: ribosomal RNA, 319 nt
Filed under: uncultured soil bacterium
Lineage: Bacteria
Description: bacterial SSU rRNA
Rfam family: Bacterial small subunit ribosomal RNA
Source: RNAcentral